RNAcentral lists this ribosomal RNA (449 nucleotides) under uncultured bacterium. RNAcentral describes it as "bacterial SSU rRNA". It matches the Rfam family "Bacterial small subunit ribosomal RNA", at positions 29 to 523 of the family's 1533-position model. The record is from RNAcentral.
AACGAACGCUGGCGGCAGGCCUAACACAUGCAAGUCGAACGAACCCUUCGGGGUGAGUGGCGCACGGGUGCGUAACACGUGGGAAUAUACCCUUCAGUAAGGAACAACACAGAGAAAUUUGUGCUAAUACCUUAUAAUGACUCCGGUCCAAAGAUUUAUCGCUGAAGGAUUAGCCCGCGUCUGAUUAGAUAGUUGGUGAGGUAAGAGCUCACCAAGUCGACGAUCAGUAGCUGGUUUGAGAGGAUGAUCAGCCACACUGGAACUGAGACACGGUCCAGACUCCUACGGGAGGCAGCAGUGAGGAAUAUUGCGCAAUGGGGGAAACCCUGACGCAGCCAUGCCGCGUGAGUGACGAAGGCCUUAGGGUUGUAAAGCUCUUUCAGAUGCGAAGAUAAUGACGGUAACAUCAGAAGAAGCUCCGGCUAAAUUCGUGCCAGCAGCCGCGGUAA